Molecule: ribosomal RNA, 465 nt
Filed under: Treponema denticola
Lineage: Bacteria; Pseudomonadati; Spirochaetota; Spirochaetia; Treponematales; Treponemataceae
Description: bacterial SSU rRNA
Rfam family: Bacterial small subunit ribosomal RNA
Source: RNAcentral
GAGUUUGAUUCUGACUCAGAACGAACGCUGGCGGCGCGUUUUUAAGCAUGCAAGUCGAACGGUAAGGGAGAGCUUGCUCUCCCCUAGAGUGGCGGACUGGUGAGUAACGCGUGGGUGACCUGCCCUGAAGAUGGGGAUAGCUAGUAGAAAUAUUAGAUAAUACCGAAUGUGCUCAUUUACAUAAAGGUAAAUGAGGAAAGGAGCUACGGCUCCGCUUCAGGAUGGGCCCGCGUCCCAUUAGCUGGUUGGUGAGGUAAAGGCCCACCAAGGCAACGAUGGGUAUCCGGCCUGAGAGGGUGAACGGACACAUUGGGACUGAGAUACGGCCCAAACUCCUACGGGAGGCAGCAGCUAAGAAUCUUCCGCAAUGGACGAAAGUCUGACGGAGCGACGCCGUGUGAAUGAAGAAGGCUGAAAGGUUGUAAAAUUCUUUUGCAGAUGAAGAAUAAACACAGGAGGGAAUGC